UACGGGGGGAGCAAGCGUUGUUCGGAUUUACUGGGCGUAAAGGGCGCGUAGGCGGCGCGACAAGUCACUUGUGAAAUCUCUGGGCUCAACCCAGAACGGUCAAGUGAUACUGUCGUGCUAGAGUGCGGAAGGGGCAACUGGAAUUCUUGGUGUAGCGGUGAAAUGCGUAGAUAUCAAGAGGAACACCUGCGGCGAAGGCGGGUUGCUGGGCCGACACUGACGCUGAGGCGCGAAAGCCAGGGGAGCAAACGGG
Molecule: ribosomal RNA, 253 nt
Filed under: uncultured bacterium
Lineage: Bacteria
Description: partial 16S ribosomal RNA
Rfam family: Bacterial small subunit ribosomal RNA
Source: RNAcentral